RNAcentral lists this long non-coding RNA (403 nucleotides) under Setaria italica (foxtail millet). Its description in RNAcentral is "long non-coding RNA (SITA_LNC005982)". The record is from RNAcentral. Lineage: Eukaryota; Viridiplantae; Streptophyta; Magnoliopsida; Poales; Poaceae.
GUCACCCCCCCUCUCCCCGUCCUCAAAGCCUUUUCCCCCAAAUCUCGCGUGCUGCCUCCGUCCUGCUCCGCCCCUCCGCUUCCGUGUCCCCCCAACCCGCGCGCCUGCGCCCCCCUCGAUCCGGCGGAAUCCGCCGGCGCGGCCGUCGAUUGGAGCGGCUGCUGUGGUUGGGGAACGCUCGGCGCCGUCGCGGGCUGCGGAUCGAGGUCCGGGUCGGCGGAUUUGGGCGCCCGCGGAACGAGACCUACGCGGCGGCGUGGGAGUUUGUGACGGAGUUUUGGGGUUGGGUGGUGGAGGGGAGGAGGAGGGGUCGCAUAUGCGCGUGACGGUCACGCCCAAGGACGAAGAGCGGCUGGUCGGCUUGAUGGCGCGGAGCGGCCGCGGUCGGCGGUGGUGACGGNNN